AGCAGCCGCGGUAAUUCCAGCUCCAAUAGCGUAUAUUAAAGUUGUUGCAGUUAAAAAGCUCGUAGUUGAAUUUCGGGGUUAGUAGGUUGGUCAUGCCUCUGGUAUGUACUGGUCUCACUGAUUCCUCCUUCCUGAUGAGCCGUAAUGCCAUUAAUUUGGUGUUGCGGGGAAUUUGGACUGUUACUUUGAAAAAAUUAGAGUGUUUAAAGCAAGCUAACGCUUGAAUACAUUAGCAUGGAAUAAUGAAAUAGGACGUUCGAUCCUAUUUUGUUGGUUUCUAGGAUUGACGUAAUGAUUAAUAGGGAUAGUUGGGGGCAUUAGUAUUCAAUUGUCAGAGGUGAAAUUCUUGGAUUUAUUGAAGACUAACUACUGCGAAAGCAUUUGCCAAGGAUGUUUUCAUUAAUCAAGAACGAAAGUUAGGGGAUCGAAGACGAUCAGAUACCGUCGUAGUCUUAACCAUAAACUAUGCCGACUAGGGAUCGGAUAAUGUUAAUUUUUUAAUGACUC
Molecule: ribosomal RNA, 507 nt
Filed under: uncultured Glomeromycotina
Lineage: Eukaryota; Fungi; Glomeromycota
Description: SSU rRNA
Rfam family: Eukaryotic small subunit ribosomal RNA
Source: RNAcentral